GCUGGGUGUGGUGGCAUACACCUGUAAUCCCAGCAGCUCGGGAGGCUGAGGCAGAAGGAUCGCAAAUUCAAAACCAGCCUCAGCAAAAGCCAGGUGGUAAGCAACUCAGUGAGACCCUGUCUCUA
RNAcentral lists this small RNA (125 nucleotides) under Marmota monax (woodchuck). The record is from RNAcentral. Lineage: Eukaryota; Metazoa; Chordata; Mammalia; Rodentia; Sciuridae.